GGAGUUCUCACAGCGAGUGUUUCCGCUCACCUCCGAUAAAGAGCUGCUGGCUGGAGAGCCGAGGACGCGGAACAGAGCGGGGGACUACGCGACGGAAACCAGGGUGUUUAACCGAGUCUUUCUACCGUUCUGGCUUCAGCGUUUCCCGCAAACGGCUCCAUUAAUGUCUCGAAUGUGAUCCGGGAGAGAGAGUGGAGGGCUCGCUACUGGUAACCUUUACGUUGGUUAAGCCGUAGAGGACUCUCCCUGGCUGUCGGAGGAAAAGAUGUGCGAUGGAAUGGUAGCGUUUCAGACGAGAGCCUUGUCCUCUUCCUCUACCUCUACCUCCUCCUCCUCCUCCUCCUCUCGAGCCCGCAGGCUGGCGGCCUCCGCACUUCUCCUCCUCUUCAUCCUGCUCCCUCAUGGUCAUGCAUCAGGCUGUGGGCGGCCGCCCAGCGUGCAGCACGGAGACCUGCUGAACCAGACCGAGUCCAC
This is a long non-coding RNA of Salarias fasciatus (jewelled blenny), 474 nucleotides long. RefSeq lists it as uncharacterized. The transcript is spliced from 3 exons. NCBI's taxonomy places the organism in Eukaryota, Metazoa, Chordata, Actinopteri, Blenniiformes, Blenniidae. The record is from RefSeq and is a predicted model, not a curated record.